AAGAGAGCAAUCCUGCUGCUGAUCUAACACCUGUUACACUCCCAAAUAUCUUAUUGAAAAAAAAUGUAACGCCUAGGAUGGAUUUUUUUGCUUUUACUGGCCAUGAGCACAAAUCAUAUUAAGCAUGUCCUGGAGUCUGGAGCCAGCCUCCCAUACAUAUCACACUUUCUUAAUGGUCUUUGUGGAUAUCCAGAAUGAGAAAGAUGGGAGAAAUAUCAUCAAAACCAGCCUCUGUACAGAGCUCCUCUCUUCCUACAGCUUUGGGCAGGAGAGAAAAUUUUGAUAUCCAAUUAUUUUACAAGCCAAAUGUUAAAGAGGCAACCCAAUCACCUGAUGCCUUCAGUUAGCGAUGAAGGAGCAUGCUAAGACAUCCUUAUCACCUUUCAGUUGAUCACAGGGGUUUUCUAGAUCCAACUAGGACUUUGUACCGCUGCUGGGAGCACUGCUACUUCUGCACCUCCUUUGCUGUGGAGGUGUCACCCUGCCUCUACCACUGAACCCUGGCCAAGGGCAUUGGAGCCAAGGCUGUCUGCCAGUUUUCCACCACAGCUUACUGUGUGACCCAUGAUGGAGAAUUUUGGGGGUGCAUAUGGGGGCAGACUGGUGGUGUAUCCCUCCCUUCUUCCCUCCUCACUUUUCUGCUUUCUUAAAUAAAAAUUAAGAAUGGUGGUCUUAAGCAGACACCUAGAGAAGAGCAAAAA
Myiozetetes cayanensis is the source of this 701-nucleotide long non-coding RNA. RefSeq lists it as uncharacterized. NCBI's taxonomy places the organism in Eukaryota, Metazoa, Chordata, Aves, Passeriformes, Tyrannidae. The transcript is spliced from 2 exons. The record is from RefSeq and is a predicted model, not a curated record.